Molecule: ribosomal RNA, 400 nt
Filed under: phytoplankton environmental sample
Lineage: Eukaryota
Description: partial small subunit ribosomal RNA
Rfam family: Eukaryotic small subunit ribosomal RNA
Source: RNAcentral
AGCUCCAAUAGUGUAUACUAAAGUUGCUGCAGUUAAAAAGCUCGUAGUCGAAUGUGUGGGUCCGAGAACUCGAACUGUGUCUUUUCAUAAGACAUCAUGUCUCGAAUCGUUCUCGGCCCAUCCUUUUGGAAAGUGCUUCUGCCCUUGAUUGGGUCGGUUGCACGAUUCAAAACAUUUACUGUGAGCAAAUGGGAGUGUUCAACGCAGGCUUUUAGUCAUGCUUGAACCUUUUAGCAUGGAAUAAUAAUAUAAAACUUUGGUUUUAUUUGGUUGGCUUGCUAAAACCCGAAGUAAUGAUUAACAGGGACGGUUUGGGGGUGCUCAUAUUCAGGGGGGACCGGUGAAAUGGGAUGAUCCUCUGAAGAUGAACUACUGCGAAAGCAUUCACCAAGGACGUUUU